AUUAAGGACGUAGCGUAUUUACGAAAAGUUGUGAUGAGAAACGCAAUCUACUAUGAAUCACAAAUCUCCUAGGGUAAACCAUACGUUUUAGUAUUUACUACUAAAUUAAUUGAAACAUCUUAUUAGUUUAAGGAAUAGAAAUCAAACGAGAUUUCAUUAGUAGUGGCGAGCGAAAAUGAAUUAGAGUACAUACAAUAAAAAAGUUAAAUAAUUUGAAAUAAUUAACUAUAAAAGGUUAAAGUCCUGUAAGCUUUUGCGUAUAUUUGUAGUAGAAGAGAUUUCGAGGAGAUCUCUUUGAAUAUUGGAGGACCAUACUUCAAACUCUAAAUAUCUUCAUAUGACCGAUAGAAUAAAGUACUGUGAAGGAAAGAUGAAAAGAAUUCUUAGAUGGAAGUGAAAAGAUUUUGAAAUCUAAUACUCUCAACCGACCGAAGUAUUUAAAAUAUGACGGUGUGCCUUUUGUAUCAUGCAUUAGCGACUUUAAAUUUACAGCAAGCUUAAAUUGUUAAAUGUAAGCGUAGUUAAAGCAAGUGUUCAGUAUACACUAAAUAGUUGUAAAUUUAAGACCCGAAUCCAAGUGAUCUAGUUAUGAACAGGUUGAAUGCAUAAUAAUUUAUGUUGGAAGACCUAACUCGUAACUGUUGCAAAAGUUUUAGAUGAUUUGUAAUUAGGGGUGAAAGGCCAAUCAAUCUUGGUGAUAGCUGGUUUUCCACGAAAUAUAUUUAGGUAUAGCGUAAUUUUAGGUAGCAAAGGGUAGAGCUCUUUUUAAACUAGGGGAGUCAAUAAACUUUACUGAAUUUAGAUAAACUACGAAUAUUUGCUAAAUUUAAGAUUAUAGUCAGACUUUGAGUGCUAAGAUUUUAAGUCAAGAGGGAAACAGCCCAGAUUAUUAACUAAGGCCCAUAAAUGAAAGCUAAGUGAUAAAGAAAGUGAUUAGACCAAGAUAGUUAGAAGGUGAGCUUGGAAGCAGCUAUCCUUUAAAAAAUGCGUAAUUGCAUACUAAUUGAAAAUAUUUUAUUUAAGUCUAGUUGCGUCGAAAAUUCAUAGGACUUAUGCUUUCUGCCGAAGUUAUAAAUUUAAAUUAAAAUAAUUUAAAUGGUAGUGGAACGUUUUUUAAGCCAGUGAAGUUAAAUUGUUAAAUUUAAUCGAGGUAUAAAAAGUGAGAAUGCUAAUAUAAGUAACGUUAAACAAUGUAAAAAGCAUUGUCGCCUAAAAUUUAAAGUUUUCUAUGCAAUGUUUAUCAUCGUAGAAUCAAUCGGUCUCUAAGAAUUUAAUAUCGAUAGAUAUGUUUGAUGAGAA
This 1299-nucleotide ribosomal RNA is filed under the name uncultured Nitzschia. Its description in RNAcentral is "partial Bacterial large subunit ribosomal RNA". It matches the Rfam family "Bacterial large subunit ribosomal RNA", at positions 49 to 1424 of the family's 2925-position model. The record is from RNAcentral. Lineage: Eukaryota; Bacillariophyta; Bacillariophyceae; Bacillariales; Bacillariaceae.